RNAcentral lists this long non-coding RNA (1476 nucleotides) under Canis lupus familiaris (dog). Its description in RNAcentral is "lncRNA (ENSCAFG00030019391.1)". Lineage: Eukaryota; Metazoa; Chordata; Mammalia; Carnivora; Canidae. The record is from RNAcentral.
CCUCAUCCCCGCCGGCAGCCCCGCCCUCCGCCCCGGGCCUGUCACUCGCGGCCGAGCGCGGCGGCCCAGCCGGCUCCGCGCCCCCCGCCCGGACGCCGGAGCCCGAGCCGCGCCGGAGCCGCACCGGCCGCGCCCGCCGAGCCCGGGGUGGGAUGCGCGCCGCGAGCGCGCGUGCCCGCCCGCAGUGCGCGCGCCCCGGCCCGAGCGAGCGCUCCCCGCGGCGGCGGCGGCGGCGACGGCGGCGACGGCGACGAGGCCCGCGCGCUCCCCCGGCCCCUGCCCCGGCUGCGCGGGCCCCCGCCGGGCCCAUGGGCGGCGCCGGUCCCCGUGCGCCCCGGACGCGAGCAGCGGCGAGGUGAGCGGGGGCGCCGAGCGGGGGCGCGGGGACACGCGGGGCGCGGGCGGGGAGCCGGUCCGGUGGGCGCAACGGCGGGAGCGCUGGGGCGGCUGCACCCGGCGGGCGCCCGGGAAGAGGCGGCGGCGGCGGCGGCGGCGGCGGGCCGGAGGGAAGAGGCCCGGUUCAGGGGGACGCGGCGGGCCGGCCCGGGAAGCCCUUCCCCCGCCUCCCACGGCGCCCAGCGGACCCCCGGCCCGGUCCGCGCUGCCCCCGCCAACCCCCGCUUCGCCGCCUUUCUCCUCGAAAUUCUUUCUUAUUUUGUGGGGGGAAGGGCAUGCAGUAAGCACCCCGGACCUGGGCCCUCUGCGCAGACCUGUACGGACCUCAGCCUGAGCCCCAGACUUCCCAGGCUGCCCCCCACCGCACCAGGGAGGCCCCAGAUCGGACGGUCGUUCCUGCCCCCGCAGGGUAGGGAUGCAGGCCCUGACCAAAGGAGCGGAGGGUUUGGGCCUGUGGGAGGCUUAGGAAAGGGCCCAUUCCGAGCUCGGUGGGGAGGAGCUGCAGACCCCUGUCCCCUGUGUGUUCAGGCCGCCACCGGUACCCCCACCUCAGGGUGCUCAGCUGGCCUCUGCAGAAUAAAGACCAUCCGCCAGCCUGCUGCAGAGGCAGCAGCGGGUGCUGGGGGAGGGGCUGGCACUGCCAGGCUGAGUGCAAGCAGCCUGCCUCAGCCUAUCUGCCCACCUUGGUGGGGAGGGGUACCCCAGUGUCUGGCCUUGAAGGGAGGGGGCCACAAUGGGCCCAGCUCCCAUCAGGUCACCGCGACUGGGAGAAUUUGCCUCCUGACUUCCCACUGCAAAAAUGGACUGGCUUCUGCAGGGGGGAGUUGGGGGCCUGGGUGCUUCAGUGAUUGCGGGGUGCAAGGGGCAGUCCAUGCGGCAGAGGAGAGAAGUGGCAGGGUCUACGGUGAUGCCCAAAGUGUCAUGGUGCAGCCUGGGGUGGAGGUGGGGGUGCUGCAGAUCAGGGGAGCAGCAUUCUGCUGUGCCCCCUGCCCCUGGGAGUCUGAGCGGAGGUCUGUGGGUCCAGACACUGCCCUCUGCCUCCCUCAGACCUUCUUGCUGGGAGGGCAGCUCAGGAAAUGA